RNAcentral lists this ribosomal RNA (106 nucleotides) under Lepisosteus oculatus (spotted gar). Lineage: Eukaryota; Metazoa; Chordata; Actinopteri; Semionotiformes; Lepisosteidae. The record is from RNAcentral.
ACUAGCAGCCAUAUCACUCUGCAACUCAGAACUAGCUAAGCAGGUGUGAGCCUGGUCAGUACCUGGAUGGGAGACCUCCUGGGAAAAACUAAGGUUUCUGCUGGAA